UUUAAUGAGAGUUUGAUCCUGGCUCAGGACGAACGCUGGCGGCGUGCCUAAUACAUGCAAGUAGAACGCUGAGGUUUGGUGUUUACACUAGACUGAUGAGUUGCGAACGGGUGAGUAACGCGUAGGUAACCUGCCUCAUAGCGGGGGAUAACUAUUGGAAACGAUAGCUAAUAC
RNAcentral lists this ribosomal RNA (174 nucleotides) under Streptococcus agalactiae. RNAcentral's name for it is "partial 16S ribosomal RNA". It matches the Rfam family "Bacterial small subunit ribosomal RNA", at positions 1 to 169 of the family's 1533-position model. The record is from RNAcentral. Lineage: Bacteria; Bacillati; Bacillota; Bacilli; Lactobacillales; Streptococcaceae.